AAAGGGGCAGGGGGGAGAGACCCGCCGGCCGGCCGGCCGGCCGCUUUCAAUGAACGGUGCAGCCCAGGCAGAAAAGCGGUGGGCGCCGAGGUAGCCCGGGGAGAUGUAGGCGCCCCGCGCCGUUCCCCAGAACGGGUAAGAUGCUGAGCCGACAUCGCUCUGAAGGGUGAGGAAGAGCAAAGGGGCGCCAAGACCGAGACGGGACCUAUUCGAACGUCCACCGCUUCUUACCGAGAAUUGAGAAGCCGAAGUCUCAGAGACCGACGCUGCCGCCAUCUUCGUGCCUGCCUAGCGGACCUCUGCAGUCCCGGAGCGGCCCGGGUGCGCGCGCUGUUCUUCAAGCUUCGAGAGCCGCCCGCCAGGGACGACCCUAAGCCAAACCCCUGAUGGAAGGGGCUGGGGUGCUGGUGCCCGGCCCGGAAACCCCUGCCACACACCCCCACUUGGACGCCCGCGCUCUGGAGUGCACACGGAAAGGGCAACACGUCCUAACGGACGCCCUGGUCAGCCAAUCAAAAAGGCGAACGUCUUCAGGUGGUAGGAGAAUCCGCCCCUUCCCUCGGUGACGUCACAAGGUAGCGCGUCGCAAGGGCUGCGCGGGCGCGUAGCGCCGAGGGUUCCCAGGCCCUUCUGACGGGGUUUUGCAUAGGAACGGACUUUCUCGAGGGAAAUAGAUGGGCGAGGGGUUGUGUUGUUUCAUUGGCAACCGAAUACAAUGACUGAAAUAAAAGCGAACGCGAAAUUCAAACACUCCAUGUCUUCCCUUGGAUUAAAGGCCAGAGAGAGCGUGAGUUUCACUCGGGGACGCCUCUCCAGGUGAAGUACUCACCUUUCGGCCAAUUAAAAAUAGAAUUGGGAGGGGCUUAAAAAUUUGGUCCAAUGGAAGUCAAGGAAAAAAAAAGAAUAGGGGCAGAGAGUAAACCUUAGCAAACAACUGCCCAAUUGGAUUGGGAAACUCCCAACCAAACCUGGGACUGGCUGCUAGAAAUAGUCGCCACCGGGACCUUUGGGCGGGGCAAGUUUAAAGUGGAUUUCGCGCGCUGAAAGCGUCGCGCUAUUAUUGGCCAGCGACUUCCUCCCUUUGUGGGAGCUCCCAGCGUAGCGGGGGUUAGGCCUUGGGCGGAGCGGCCUGGUGACGCUGUAGCCUUCCCAGCCAAUCAGGGGUGAGAAAGGGAAGCCUAGGAGGAAGCGGAUCCGCUGCCGCGCUGCUAAACCGCAGCGAACUAUCCUCUUCGUCUUCCUCCGCCGCUCUCGGGCCUAAGCGGGAGCGGCCGGGACGGCGUCACUGGGUGGGCUGGGGCGGAAGUGGAGGCGGAGGGAGACGGCGGCGGCCGCAGGGCCUUGGGCUCUCGCGGCGAGGGCCUGGUGGGCGCGAGGCAGGGGGAGGGGGAGGAGGAGGAGCCCGCAGCCCAAGCGGCAGUGGCGGCAGCGGUGGCUGCGGCGCCCGAGUUUCCCGUAGGGCUCCGCCUCGGAGCGGGCGGCGGUGGAGGAGGAGACUGAGGAGCAGGAUGGCGGCCUCGGCCCUGUACGCCUGCACCAAGUGCACCCAGCGCUAUCCCUUCGAGGAGCUCUCCCAGGGCCAGCAGCUCUGCAAGGAAUGUCGGAUUGCGCAUCCUAUUGUAAAAUGUACUUACUGCAGAUCAGAAUUUCAACAAGAGAGCAAAACUAACACAAUUUGUAAGAAGUGUGCUCAAAAUGUGAAGCAGUUUGGCACCCCUAAGCCUUGUCAGUACUGUAACAUAAUUGCAGCAUUUAUUGGUACAAAGUGUCAGCGUUGCACAAAUUCAGAAAAAAAAUAUGGACCACCUCAGACCUGUGAACAGUGCAAACAACAGUGUGCUUUUGAUCGAAAGGAGGAGGGAAGAAGAAAGGUUGAUGGGAAAUUAUUAUGCUGGCUCUGUACUUUAUCAUACAAGAGAGUUUUACAGAAGACAAAAGAACAAAGGAAGGGCCUGGGAUCCUCACAUUCAAAUUCCUCUUCUUCAUCCCUCACUGAGAAAGACCAGCAUCAUUCAAAACAUCACCACCACCAUCAUCACCAUCACCAUCGGCACGGCAGUAGCCAUCACAAAAUCAGCAACCUAAGUCCAGAACAAGAGCAGGGACUGUGGAAACAGAGCCAUAAAUCCUCUGCAACAAUUCAGAAUGAAACUCCAAAGAAAAAGCCCAAAUUGGAAUCUAAGCCAUCUAAUGGAGAUAGGUGUAUGUAAUGUGUGCCAUUAGUAAGGUAAUUUGCCAGUUGCAUCCAUUUCUGUCAGUAGCUCUAUAAAUCAGUCAGCAGAUAGUGGGGGAACAGACAAUUUUGUCCUUAUAAGUCAACUGAAAGAAGAAGUGAUGUCACUUAAACGUCUCUUACAGCAGAGAGACCAGACCAUUUUAGAAAAAGAUAAAAAGUUAACUGAACUUAAGGCAGACUUUCAGUACCAAGAGUCAAACUUGAGAACAAAGAUGAACAGUAUGGAGAAAGCUCACAAAGAAACUGUGGAACAACUUCAGGCCAAAAACAGAGAACUACUCAAACAGGUCGCAGCAUUGUCAAAGGGUAAAAAGUUUGACAAAAGUGGAAGCAUAUUAACAUCCCCUUAGAGAAAGUAGUUGUUCAUUAGUGUUUCUGCUGAAAAUGUAAAAUUUGAAAAAAAGAAAUUCUGUGAAGCCCUUAAAUUUAGUGUGUAGUGGAAAAAUAUUUUUGCACACCAAAUGAAUUGGUGUGUUUCCUAUUCACUUUUGUAACUGAUAACACAGCAUUUUUUUAAGUUGUAAAACAUUCAAAUAAAACUUCAACUGGUUUGAAGUAACUUUUUAAUUAUUUGAUAUCCAGCAACUUUUUUUGCCAGCAAUAGUAUUAAACAGCUGUCAAGGAGUGCAUGAAUAGUGCUCUUUCUAAAAUGCAACAUGCAAUAAUAGAGUAAGUAUGGUUUUAAGAAGUCAGAGCAGCAGGGGUUUGGCUUUGAUGUUUAUUUUACAUGAUGAUCAUUUCAGAUAAAACAGUUUUCAAUUUAGAAAUACAGAAACUUUUAAACAAAAAAAGUUGUGAACACUGGUUUUUUGGUAGUUGUGUUUUUACUUUUCAUUGACAUGAAUUUAGGAGAGAAUCAUGGUGCUUUUAUUAAAUGGACUUCAGAGUAUAUGUAAAUAUGUUUUUAAAAGUUACAUCGUUAACAGUAGUAAACUAGUAUUUUCGUUAUUGGUAUAGGACUUCAUGUUUAUUGUACAGUAUCCAAGGUAAAAUGUGUUUGUUUUGUAAAAACUACUGUAGAUUUUUACUUACAAGUGCCUUUUUGCCACCUAAUGUUUUUAUUUAUAGGAAUGCUGAUCUUUUGUACAUACUAUUUGUUUUAAAAUCAUGUUUAAUAAAUGUUUGUAUAUAAAUGCAUAUGUACAGAAGCUAUUUCAAAAGGAAAUCAAAAUUGCUAGUAAAAAUGUUUGAGGUUGCAUUAAGCACUGAUAUGCAUCUAGACUUUAGAUGAUUUUGUUGUUUGUUUCUGUGUGAUGUGGGAAGCUGUUGGUCAUUGAAUUCAUUGAAUUAUGUCAAAAUACUUCCCCAAAGAUUUAAUUUUAAAUCACUUCUGAUAGAGUAAUUUUAUUUUUAAUGUCAUAUGGCUUCAUAUUCAUAUUUUGUGAGUUACAUGUUUUACUUUAUUUUUCUUUAAUUAAAAUUUUAAGAAAUUAUAGUUCUUCUGUAGUGGUCCAUAUAUCUGCUUUACCUGUAAUAUGUGGUUAUCUAAGUUAAUAUUUAUGUACACCAUACUUAAUUUGUAAGUUUAAAGCAAGUCUGGAAAAAAUUAAAUAUCUUUUAAAUCAGUCUGUGAUUACCUUUGAAUAAAUUGGAAUCUACUGUAAGAUUUAGGCACUAUUUAUAAGAAAAUUAUAUCAGAGUUUUUUAAAAUUGUCUAUAAAAGAUUAAGGUAGGGUGGGAUAGGUUAGGAAAAGUUAUUGACUAAUUAUAUUCUGAUCCAGUGUUUUUGCCUCCCUGCAAUAGAAUUGAUCUCCUUAGUUAAGGCCAGUUCAGACUUUCAGUUCAAUUUUAAAGUCUCAAGUAUCGCUAGAUAACUGUAUAGAGUAGAAGGGCUCCUUCUCUUAGGCAUUUAUGGGCAAAUACAGAUUUGUUUCAGGUAAACUGUUAUUAAACUUCUCAGUUUUGAAGAUUUGUUUUUACACAAGCAUUGAUUAUGAAUGUUGUAUCAAAGAUCCUCUUUCCUCAGAAGAUGGAAUGACUGUAAUGAUUGUUUUUAACAUGACUCAUGUUUUAGUUGAUUACUCCUAUAGUGACUUGUUACAAAGUGACAUCAAAUAAUUCUUUGUCCAAUUUGAAAACACAUAAUCUAGGGCAACUUUCAAGUGAUAGCAGAAUAGUCAGCCAGACUUGGAAAAAUUAAACCAGUUUAUUUUUAUGAUGUCUUCAUGCAAUAAUCUUCCUAAAUUUAGUACUCUCUACAGGGAUGGAUAAUGCCUUCUUAACACAGAUUUUAAUGUUUUUGCAGGAUUUACUAAAUUCAUUAUAUAGUCUUAACCUUUCUUUAAAAUUUAUGGUGUUUGUAUUCUGGUUUCACAGCUAUUUGUCGGUCAUAGUGGUCAGUAUAAACUGUGUUAAUAGUUCUUUUUCCUUGUUGGAGCUGCUACAAAAGAAAGGUGCGCCUUCCCCAAUUUUAGGUAACAGAUUAAAAGUUGAAAUUGGUCUAAACAAUGAAGCUUUGUAAAUUUUGAGGCUAAAACCUUUUAGGGGCUUCACAGUAUUUAGUCCUAAAUACUGCCAUCUCUUUAUUCCAUGAGCUGAUUUUAUAACUUAAUUAUUUUGCAGUUGUAUAAAGUAGUACUUGAGUCCCAGUCCUGGAUCUGUAGUGUAUUGACAUGAGCAGAUAUUCUCUCAAUGUGGACUUGUAAGGAGAUACUAUGGUGUGCCGUAUUGUGCUUUUUAGCCUGUUUUCAGCUAUGGAUUAGCAUUUACCAGUGAGGGUCAUUUUGGCUCCGGUUAUUUAUGUAUUAAUAGCCUGUGAAUAUUGCAGUCCUUUUUAGAUGGUAUUGGUCUAAAUAUGCAUUCCUCAGUGAACCUGUUAAGCUGUUCAUAUGUAUAGACUAUUGAAAUACUGUACUUACGCUCAUCUGACUGUUGACAUUUUGUACUUUUUUCUAAAUCCAAUAUUUCACAAUAAAAACUUGUCAAAAGCUU
Molecule: RNA transcript, 5167 nt
Organism: Sus scrofa (pig)
Lineage: Eukaryota; Metazoa; Chordata; Mammalia; Artiodactyla; Suidae
Gene: FAM76B
Gene name: family with sequence similarity 76 member B
Source: RefSeq, a predicted model, not a curated record